CCGCCCAGAGGUUGGCGGGGGCCCGGGGCAAAUUUUUUUUUAGGGGCCCCUAUCUAAAAAAAUUUUCCCGGAAAAUUUUUUUCCGGACAACAACCUCCCCCCCCCGUCGCCAAAAUAUUUUCGGUCAGUGUACCAUUUUAGGGGUAAAAAUUUUUUUCCGGAGUACAAAAUUUUUCCGGACGAGUACGUUGCAAUUGCUUUCGAGGGACUUUAUCUCAUUUUUUUAUGCCAAAAUUCGGUACUUAGCCCAAGAAAACAGAUAUCUUGUCC
Paramuricea clavata is the source of this 270-nucleotide non-coding RNA. The record is from the annotation of a GenBank genome assembly. NCBI's taxonomy places the organism in Eukaryota, Metazoa, Cnidaria, Anthozoa, Malacalcyonacea, Plexauridae.